UUUCCGUAGGUGAACCUGCGGAAGGAUCAUCACAGUGUUCCCUGCCCUUCGGGGUAGGAUCGCCACCCUUGAUUAUAUAUGAGUGUUGCUUUGCCGUGCCUCGCGGCCUGGCCGCGCCUCGGCUUCGGCGGGGGAGCGCCCGCCAGAGGAUUCUACAAACCUGAUUAUUAGUGUCGUCUGAGUACUAUAUAAUAGUUAAAACUUUCAACAACGGAUCUCUUGGUUCUG
This 228-nucleotide unclassified non-coding RNA is filed under the name plant metagenome. Its description in RNAcentral is "partial contains small subunit ribosomal RNA, internal transcribed spacer 1, and 5.8S ribosomal RNA". The record is from RNAcentral.